RNAcentral lists this ribosomal RNA (428 nucleotides) under uncultured Lactococcus sp. RNAcentral describes it as "bacterial SSU rRNA". It matches the Rfam family "Bacterial small subunit ribosomal RNA", at positions 355 to 774 of the family's 1533-position model. The record is from RNAcentral. Lineage: Bacteria; Bacillati; Bacillota; Bacilli; Lactobacillales; Streptococcaceae.
UAGGGAAUCUUCGGCAAUGGACGAAAGUCUGACCGAGCAACGCCGCGUGAGUGAAGAAGGUUUUCGGAUCGUAAAACUCUGUUGGUAGAGAAGAACGUUGGUGAGAGUGGAAAGCUCAUCAAGUGACGGUAACUACCCAGAAAGGGACGGCUAACUACGUGCCAGCAGCCGCGGUAAUACGUAGGCUCCGAGCGUUGCUCCGGAUUUAUUGGGCGUAAAGCGAGCGCAGGUGGUUUAUUAAGUCUGGUGUAAAAGGCAGUGGCUCAACCAUUGUAUGCAUUGGAAACUGGUAGACUUGAGUGCAGGAGAGGAGAGUGGAAUUCCAUGUGUAGCGGUGAAAUGCGUAGAUAUAUGGAGGAACACCGGUGGCGAAAGCGGCUCUCUGGCCUGUAACUGACACUGAGGCUCGAAAGCGUGGGGAGCAAACA